AUGGAUGGAGUGCCCGGGGGCGCGCGCCAGGGGUCGGUUCGCGCGCGGAACAUCUCCGCCUUUCGGUGGAGGCGCGGCCCCGGCCAUGGAUCGUGCGAGAUCUUUGCGCUGCCGUCGUGGGAGCUAGCUGGCCCGCUGGCGUGCGCGGGACGUGACCGAUCGAUCGAUCGCCCGACGUGUCGCGCCGGGGAGGCGGGGAGCGGAGCCGUCGCCCGUCGGCUCGGAUCAGCCGCGUCGAUCGACGUGCGGGUUUCCCGGCUCGGCGACGAAGUGCUGAGAUAUAUUCCUGGGUUGUGGUGCGUGUAUUUUCAGGGGAUUUUUAGGGGUUUUGCCUCGCCUUUUUUCCCCGGCAAGGUCAAAUGCCACAUAUAUUAG
Molecule: ribosomal RNA, 375 nt
Filed under: Triticum aestivum (bread wheat)
Lineage: Eukaryota; Viridiplantae; Streptophyta; Magnoliopsida; Poales; Poaceae
Description: partial small subunit ribosomal RNA
Source: RNAcentral